Molecule: ribosomal RNA, 465 nt
Filed under: uncultured bacterium
Lineage: Bacteria
Description: partial 16S ribosomal RNA
Rfam family: Bacterial small subunit ribosomal RNA
Source: RNAcentral
CCUACGGGGGGCAGCAGUAGGGAAUCUUCCACAAUGGGCGCAAGCCUGAUGGAGCAACACCGCGUGAGUGAAGCAGGGUUUCGGCUCGUAAAGCUCUGUUGUUGGAGAAGAACGUGCGUGAGAGUAACUGUUCACGCAGUGACGGUAUCCAACCAGCAAGUCACGGCUGACUACGGUCCAGCAGCCGCGGUAAUACGUAGGUGGCAAGCAUUAUCCGGCUUUAUUGGGCGUAAAGCGAGCGCAGGCGGUUGCGUAGGUCUGAUGUGAAAGCCUUCGGCGUAAACGAAGAAGUGCAUCGGAAACCGGGCGACUUGAGUGCAGAAGAGGACAGUGGAACCCCAUGUGUAGCGGUGGAAUGCGUAGAUAUAUGGAAGAACACCAGUGGCGAAGGCGGCGGUCUGGUCUGCAACUGACGCUGAGGCUCGAAAGCAUGGGUAGCGAACAGGAUUAGAUACCCUUGUAGUC